This is a long non-coding RNA of Lolium rigidum, 323 nucleotides long. RefSeq lists it as uncharacterized. The record is from RefSeq and is a predicted model, not a curated record. The transcript has 4 exons. NCBI's taxonomy places the organism in Eukaryota, Viridiplantae, Streptophyta, Magnoliopsida, Poales, Poaceae.
CGUGUCGCUCAACAACUAUGACCAACUGGGAGUCUCUGCAAGUGGUGGCAGUCGGCGUUUUUAGAAUAAGAUGAUCCAAAGCAGGGACUUGUUUGAGGCCACAAUCAGGAUGGCAGUGAAAGAACUAUAAUUGAAGCAUUGAACAUGGCCACAUUGAAUUUACUGAAUAUUUAUGUUCCAAUUGCAGCGAGCAGAUCCGAUAAAAAAAGAAGCAUCUCAGAUUGACAUCCAUAAAGUUCAGACAUUUCAGAAAUGACUUUCCUGCGUGGUGCUCCACUUACUCAGCAUGGAGGAGCCACUGUCCACUAGAGGACCUAGCCUCA